Molecule: long non-coding RNA, 1561 nt
Organism: Phasianus colchicus (ring-necked pheasant)
Lineage: Eukaryota; Metazoa; Chordata; Aves; Galliformes; Phasianidae
Source: Ensembl
GCUGCAUAGUGAAAGCAAGGAAAGAUCUUGCUUCUGGUGCAGACUUGUCAAAUCUAAUAGCUACAAUGAUCGUUUAUCAAUAAAAUGGAAAGUUUGGAAGAUGUGUGAUGUUAGGAGGUUAAUGAUGUGAGACUCAAGGAUGCAGACUGUAAUCUUGUUAGUAUGCUAUUAUGGCAAUACACAUUCAUAAUUCAGAGGUUUUAUGUACUUGGUGUUGAUUAAAAGAAUUAAUCCAGCCAGCUCACCAAGGGCAAUGUGCUAGCUGGCAGGCACUGGUAAACAACAAGGCAGAGCAGUGUAAUCACCUGUAAGGAUAAAUGUAGGUGACACAGUCACAAUAGUAGAAAGUAGAUCCCAGGCAGGCAGCAAACACUGCCAUUGCCUAUUUCUGGCUUGCUUGGACAGCCGUGGGGGGGAAGAUCCAUACUAGCAUUUGUGAGGGCAAAGAAAUCAAAGGACCAGGGACCAGUGAAGGAAGAGACAUUUCAACAGCAAAAAAAAAAGAAAGAUUUGACAAGCAUGGAAAGUAUUGGUGAGAAAACCUUUAAUAAGAGGAGGGAAGGAAGAGCCAAAAUAAGCUGAAAGCUACAGCAUUAAAAUAAAGCAAAAGAAAUCCAAACCAGAAAGAUGUGACACUGGGAGAAAGUUCUUUUCAUAGACCACAGUAUAGAAAUAUCAGCGAAGCCAAACAUUUAGUAUGUAUCAUCAUGCACAAUAUUUAUGAAAAAAAACUUAAUUAACUUUCCUGUGUUCCAUUCUGGUUCUCCGUUUCUCCUUGUAAUCAAGCACAGAUUAACUAAUGAAGAAUACAUAGCCUGCAAGAUAUUUCUUCUACAAACAAUACAUUCCAUUUUGAUUCUUUAAUGGAUUUUGGAUGUACUGAAUUUUAUCGGCAGAUUUACUUUUGGUCCCCAACACUGGCUUGCACUGUUGCAGUUCCCAAGAAGGCUAAAGACUUGUUUGAAGGACAGCAGCAUGGAAUCUGGGAAAGAGAUUUCAGGAGGAAGGAGAGGGAAUGAACUUCUAGCAUAUGUUGUCAGUUUCCUUCAUGUUUCUUAUGAGCUGGACGGGAUAGGAUCAGCUGACUGAUACAUUUUCUGCCAUAACAGUGAGAAAAAAAAAAUAGGUUCUUCUUUCCUUCCUUCCUUCCUUUUGAUACUAUUAGAUAAAAAUCAGUCAGCCCAAUAGCAUAAAAUCCCCUCAUAUUAAAGCUAUCUUACUUCAUAGACCUUCUUCUCUUCUCCUGUGAUGUUCUUUUUAUCCAAGUGUAUUUUUUCAGAGGAAAGUGUAAAAUUUGGCCUCAGCCAAGUAGUAAUUUUUUCAAAUCUUAAAGUAUCUCACAUAAUUCAAGUUUUACAAAGAUGAAUUUUAAGCGACAAAUUGGUCCUUUUGUACUUCUGAUAGGUUUGCUAGGUUGAUUGAGAGUCAGUGGGUGAAAAUAGGACUCAAAUUCAGUUUUGACUGAUGAGUCAGAUGACACAGUUGAGAAAAAAGUAGGGCACAGCAGCUUGUGUUCCCUUGAAGUGGAUAAAAAUAAAGGACUAGAUUUUCAAAAGAUUCA